UACAGAGGGUGCAAGCGUUGUUCGGAUUCAUUGGGCGUAAAGGGUUUGUAGGUGGCUCGCUAAGUCAGACGUGAAAUCCCUCAGCUUAACUGGGGAACUGCGUCUGAGACUGGCAAGCUUGAGUGCAGGAGAGGAACGCGGAAUUCCAGGUGUAGCGGUGAAAUGCGUAGAUAUCUGGAGGAACACCGGUGGCGAAGGCGGCGUUCUGGACUGUAACUGACACUGAUGAACGAAAGCCAGGGGAGCAAACGGG
This 253-nucleotide ribosomal RNA is filed under the name uncultured bacterium. RNAcentral's name for it is "partial 16S ribosomal RNA". It matches the Rfam family "Bacterial small subunit ribosomal RNA", at positions 524 to 776 of the family's 1533-position model. The record is from RNAcentral.